UACAGAGGGGGCAAGCGUUGUUCGGAAUUACUGGGCGUAAAGGGCGCGUAGGCGGCCUGUUAAGUCGAACGUGAAAUCCCCGGGCUCAACCCGGGAACUGCGUCCGAUACUGGCAGGCUUGAAUCCGGGAGAGGGAUGUGGAAUUCCAGGUGUAGCGGUGAAAUGCGUAGAUAUCUGGAGGAACACCGGUGGCGAAGGCGGCAUCCUGGACCAACACUGACGCUGAGGAGCGAAAGCCAGGGGAGCAAACGGG
This 253-nucleotide ribosomal RNA is filed under the name uncultured bacterium. RNAcentral's name for it is "partial 16S ribosomal RNA". It matches the Rfam family "Bacterial small subunit ribosomal RNA", at positions 524 to 776 of the family's 1533-position model. The record is from RNAcentral.